CCUACGGGAGGCAGCAGUGAGGAAUCUUCGUCAAUGGACGCAAGUCUGAACCAGCCAAGCCGCGUGAAGGAAGACGGCUCUAUGAGUUGUAAACUUCUUUUGUAAAGGAGUACAAGGAGAUACGUGUCUCUGUUUGCCAGUACGGUAUGAAUAAGGAUCGCCUAACUCCGUGCCAGCCGCCGCGGUAAUACGGAGGAUCCGAGCGUUAUCCGGAUUUAUUGGGUUUAAAGGGAGCGUAGCUGGGGGGUUAAGUUAGAUGUGAAAUCCCGAGGCUCAACCGUGGAAUGGCAGUUGAUACUGGUAGGCUUGAGUGCAGAUGAGGUAGGCGGAAUGCAUGGUGUAGCGGUGAAAUGCGUAGAGAUCAUGAAGAACACCGAUUGCGAAGGCAGCUGACUAAGCUGCGACUGACGUUGAGGCUCGAAAGCGUGGGGAGCAAACAGGAUUAGAUACCCCAGUAGUC
This 460-nucleotide ribosomal RNA is filed under the name uncultured bacterium. RNAcentral's name for it is "partial 16S ribosomal RNA". It matches the Rfam family "Bacterial small subunit ribosomal RNA", at positions 338 to 795 of the family's 1533-position model. The record is from RNAcentral.